Molecule: microRNA precursor, 66 nt
Filed under: Dasypus novemcinctus (nine-banded armadillo)
Lineage: Eukaryota; Metazoa; Chordata; Mammalia; Cingulata; Dasypodidae
Description: miRNA (ENSDNOG00000027135.1)
Source: RNAcentral
UGAGUUUGUAUGUAUGUCUGCAUGAACAUAUGUAUAAAUCAUACACAUGCACACAUAUAUGCCCAU